RNAcentral lists this transfer RNA (72 nucleotides) under Dipodomys ordii (Ord's kangaroo rat). It matches the Rfam family "tRNA". From Rfam's summary of the family: Transfer RNA (tRNA) molecules are approximately 80 nucleotides in length. Lineage: Eukaryota; Metazoa; Chordata; Mammalia; Rodentia; Heteromyidae. The record is from Rfam by way of RNAcentral.
UGAGGAUUGACUCAAGUGGGAGAGUACCUACCUUGCAAGCAGGAGUCCUGAGUUUAAACCCCAGAGCUAUAA